AUACGUAGGUGGCAAGCGUUGUCCGGAAUUAUUGGGCGUAAAGCGCGCGCAGGCGGCUUCUUAAGUCUGAUGUGAAAUCUUGCGGCUCGACCGCAAACGGUCAUUGGAAACUGGGAAGCUUGAGUACAGAAGAGGAGAGUAGAAUUCCACGUGUAGCGGUGAAAUGCGUAGAUAUGUGGAGGAAUACCAGUGGCGAAGGCGGCUCUCUGGUCUGUAACUGACGCUGAGGCGCGAAAGCGUGGGGAGCAAACAGGGUUAGAUACCCUGGUAGUCCACGCCGUAAACGAUGAAUGCUAGGUGUUAGGGGGGUCCAACCCCUUAGUGCUGAAGUUAACACAUUAAGCAUUCCGCCUGGGGAGUACGACCGCAAGGUUGAA
This 377-nucleotide ribosomal RNA is filed under the name uncultured bacterium. RNAcentral's name for it is "bacterial SSU rRNA". It matches the Rfam family "Bacterial small subunit ribosomal RNA", at positions 523 to 898 of the family's 1533-position model. The record is from RNAcentral.